GAUGAACGCUGGCGGCGUGCCUAAUACAUGCAAGUCGAGCGAAAAGACGAGGAGCUUGCUCCUCUGACGUUAGCGGCGGACGGGUGAGUAACACGUGGAUAACCUACCUAUAAGACUGGGAUAACUUCGGGAAACCGGAGCUAAUACCGGAUCAUAUAUUGAACCGCAUGGAUCAAUAGUGAAAGACGGUUUUGCUGUCUCUUAUAGAUGGAUCCGCGCCGCAUUAGCUAGUUGGUAAGGUAACGGCUUACCAAGGCAACGAUGCGUAGCCGACCUGAGAGGGUGAUCGGCCACACUGGAACUGAGACACGGUCCAGACUCCUACGGGAGGCAGCAGUAGGGAAUCUUCCGCAAUGGGCGAAAGCCUGACGGAGCAACGCCGCGUGAGUGAUGAAGGCCUUCGGAUCGUAAAACUCUGUUAUUAGGGAAGAACAAAUGUGUAAGUAACUAUGCACGUCUUGACGGUACCUAAUCAGAAAGCCACGGCUAACUACGUG
This 497-nucleotide ribosomal RNA is filed under the name uncultured bacterium. RNAcentral's name for it is "partial 16S ribosomal RNA". It matches the Rfam family "Bacterial small subunit ribosomal RNA", at positions 28 to 507 of the family's 1533-position model. The record is from RNAcentral.